This 899-nucleotide ribosomal RNA is filed under the name uncultured bacterium. Its description in RNAcentral is "bacterial SSU rRNA". It matches the Rfam family "Bacterial small subunit ribosomal RNA", at positions 8 to 915 of the family's 1533-position model. The record is from RNAcentral.
AGAGUUUGAUCCUGGCUCAGGAUUAACGCUGGCGGCGUGCAUAACACAUGCAAGUCGAACGAUGAAGAUUAUUAGACUUCUUCGGAAUGAAAAUAAUUGGAUUAGUGGCGGACGGGUGAGUAACGCGUGAGUAACCUGCCUUACACAAGGGGAUAGCCGUUGGAAACGACGAAUAAUACCCUAUGAAACUAUCACUUCGCAUGAAGCGAUAGUCAAAGUGUUAGCGGUGUAAGAUGGACUUGCGUCUGAUUAGCUAGUUGGUGAGAAAAAAGCCCACCAAGGCAACGAUCAGUAGCCGGCUUGAGAGAGUGUACGGCCACAUUGGGACUGAGACACGGCCCAGACUCCUACGGGAGGCAGCAGUGGGGAAUUUUGCACAAUGGGGGAAACCCUGAUGCAGCGACGCCGCGUGAUUUAGAAGGCCUUCGGGUUGUAAAAAUCUUUUGUAUAGGAAGAAAAUGACAGUACUAUACGAAUAAGGUCCGGCUAAUUACGUGCCAGCAGCCGCGGUAAUACGUAAGGACCGAGCGUUGUCCGGAAUCAUUGGGCGUAAAGGGUACGUAGGCGGGUCAUUAAGUUAGAAGUCAAAGGCUAUAGCUCAACUAUAGUAAGCUUCUAAAACUGGAGACCUUGAGUAAUGGAAGGGAAAGUGGAAUUCCUAGUGUAGCGGUGGAAUGCGCAGAUAUUAGGAGGAAUACCGGUGGCGAAGGCGACUUUCUGGCCAUUAACUGACGCUGAGGUACGAAAGCGUGGGUAGCAAACAGGAUUAGAUACCCUGGUAGUCCACGCCGUAAACGAUGAGUGUUAGUGUCUGGAGUAAAUCUGGGUGCCGCAGCUAACGCAUUAAACACUCCGCCUGGGGAGUACGCACGCAAGUGUGAAACUCAAAGGAAUUGACG